RNAcentral lists this ribosomal RNA (301 nucleotides) under uncultured bacterium. Its description in RNAcentral is "partial 16S ribosomal RNA". It matches the Rfam family "Bacterial small subunit ribosomal RNA", at positions 509 to 809 of the family's 1533-position model. The record is from RNAcentral.
CAGCCGCCGCGGUAAUACGGAGGGUGCAAGCGUUAAUCGGAAUUACUGGGCGUAAAGCGCACGCAGGCGGUCUGACAAGUCAGAUGUGAAAUCCCCGGGCUUAACCUGGGAACUGCAUUUGAAACUGUCAGGCUGGAGUCUUGUAGAGGGGGGUGGAAUUCCAGGUGUAGCGGUGAAAUGCGUAGAGAUCUGGAGGAAUACCGGUGGCGAAGGCGGCCCCCUGGACAAAGACUGACGCUCAGGUGCGAAAGCGUGGGGAGCAAACAGGAUUAGAGACCCCUGUAGUCCCUGUCUCUUAUAA